GGUGUCCUACUCCUACAAAUAAGUGCCAACUAAAAGGGCAAACAAGGCAGUGGACACUCGUAUGUACAAGAUCUAAUGCCAUUUACAACAUGCAAAGACCAGCGAAAAAUAAAAUUCACACAAGACAUUUUAAAUCCAAGUGAAGAAAAACAUUUACACCUAGAAAACCCAUAGCUAAAAAUGUCUCGAAGUUUUAUGCCUGAUUGAAGAAAUAGCAUCCUACAACCAUGAAGAUGGCUUCAAUCCCCCUGAAAGUAAGUUAUAGGCUGCAGCAACACUAAUUUUCCUCCUCUUGUCUUCUAGCUCCAAAUGCUUCUUAUUGGAGAAAGAUUCUGGAAAGAUUGAAGCUGCAUUAAUUGAUGCUCCCUUAUCCUUUCUAUUUUUCUCAAACCUGGAAGAGAACUUCACAUGUGCUGCAAUGCAACCAUCUUCCUUGGUAGUUGGAAGCAGUC
RNAcentral lists this unclassified non-coding RNA (452 nucleotides) under Hevea brasiliensis (rubber tree). Lineage: Eukaryota; Viridiplantae; Streptophyta; Magnoliopsida; Malpighiales; Euphorbiaceae. The record is from RNAcentral.